RNAcentral lists this ribosomal RNA (1218 nucleotides) under Triticum aestivum (bread wheat). RNAcentral's name for it is "partial small subunit ribosomal RNA". The record is from RNAcentral. Lineage: Eukaryota; Viridiplantae; Streptophyta; Magnoliopsida; Poales; Poaceae.
AUGCACCCGGCCAUGGCGGCGGCGGCCUUCUUCCACGGCGGAGACGAGGAGAAGGCGGGGGUGGUGGUGCAGGGCGGCCUCAAUGCGGCGCGGCCGGCCUUCGUCACCCAGCAGCUCUUCCCGACGACGGCGGCGACGCAGCAGCAGGCGACGGAGCUCCCAUGGGGCGGGGCGGCUGCGCACUGGGCCCGGCCGGCGUCGAGGACCAAGAGCCGGCGCGGGCCGCGGUCGCGGAGCUCGCAGUACCGCGGCGUCACCUUCUACCGCCGCACCGGCCGCUGGGAGUCCCACAUCUGGGACUGCGGGAAGCAGGUGUACCUGGGAGGAUUCGACACUGCACAAGCCGCUGCAAGGGCGUACGACCAGGCGGCGAUCAAGUUCCGCGGCGUGGAGGCGGACAUCAACUUCGUGCUGGACGACUACAAGGAGGACAUCGGCAAGAUGAGCGUCUUGAGCAAGGAGGAGCUGGUGCAGGUGCUGCGGCGGCAGGGCGCCGGGUUCGUGAGGGGCAGCUCCCGGUUCCGCGGCGUCACCCUGCACAAGUGCGGCAAGUGGGAGGCCAGGAUCGGCCAGCUCAUGGGCAAGAAGUUCGUGUACCUUGGCCUGUAUGACACGGAGAUGGACGCUGCAAAGGCCUACGACAAGGCGGCGCUCGAAUGCAGCGGCGAGGAGGCGGUGACCAACUUCGAGCCCAAUGCGGCAGCGGCGGUGUGCGACGGCGAGCUCGGCCUGCAAGCUUGGGGCGGCGAGCCUGAUCUCGAGCUCAGCCUGGGCUGCUCCGGCGGCGGCGAUUCCUCCAUGGUCACCAGCGGCGACACCCUCCACACCGCAGCCGUGCCGGGCAGCCGGAGGACGAGCCUGACGUUCGAGAUGCCGGAGGAGGAGGAGGCGACGGCGCCAUGGCACCCCGGCAGGACCAGGAGCAUCUGGAUGAGGCCUUCGCCGGCGUCGAUAACACCGGCACUGAGGUGCCCGGACGGCGAUCACCGCCCCACCAUCCCGCUCAGCAGCAUGCUCCAGAUGGGCCAGAUCGGCGGAGGCGGCAGGGCAGAGCCACACAUGCUCGGGUGGCCCAUGGGUGGCAGCGAUCGUUGGCAGCCGUACGCCGCCGAGGCAGCAGCAGCAGCAUCAUCAGGAUUCCUGCCGGCGCCGGGGCUGGGAGGCGUCCAGCGGCAGAACCACCACCGGCCGGGCAGCAGGGAGCAACUGUGGCACUGA